CCCGAUGACAUUAGCAAGUGUGUCCCACCUGAUUCCAUCUCGAACUCAGAAGUGAAACCACUUAGCGCCGAUGGUAGUGUGGUUCGUCCAUGUGAGAGUAGGACAUUGUCGGGC
Molecule: ribosomal RNA, 114 nt
Filed under: Gammaproteobacteria bacterium
Lineage: Bacteria; Pseudomonadati; Pseudomonadota; Gammaproteobacteria
Also listed under: 1 other name
Source: RNAcentral